UACGUAGGAUGCAAGCGUUGUUCGGAAUUAUUGGGCGUAAAGCGUGCGUAGGCGGCUUGUUAAGUCUGGUGUGAAAGCUAGGGGCUCAACCCCUGUGUUGCACUGGAAACUGGCAGGCUUGAGUGCGGUAGGGGAAGGUGGAAUUCCGAGUGUAGCGGUGAAAUGCGUAGAUAUUCGGAAGAACACCGGUGGCGAAGGCGACCUUCUGGGCCGCCACUGACGCUGAGGCACGAAAGCGUGGGGAGCAAACGGG
RNAcentral lists this ribosomal RNA (253 nucleotides) under uncultured bacterium. RNAcentral's name for it is "partial 16S ribosomal RNA". It matches the Rfam family "Bacterial small subunit ribosomal RNA", at positions 524 to 776 of the family's 1533-position model. The record is from RNAcentral.